CCUACGGGCGGCAGCAGUGGGGAAUAUUGCACAAUGGGGGAAACCCUGAUGCAGCGACGCCGCGUGAGUGAAGAAGUAUUUCGGUAUGUAAAGCUCUAUCAGCAGGGAAGAAAAUGACGGUACCUGAGUAAGAAGCCCCGGCUAACUACGUGCCAGCAGCCGCGGUAAUACGUAGGGGGCAAGCGUUAUCCGGAUUUACUGGGUGUAAAGGGAGCGUAGACGGCAGCACAAGUCUGGAGUGAAAUGCCGGGGCUUAACCCCGGAACUGCUUUGGAAACUGUGAAGCUAGAGUGCAGGAGAGGUAAGUGGAAUUCCUAGUGUAGCGGUGAAAUGCGUAGAUAUUAGGAGGAACACCAGUGGCGAAGGCGGCUUACUGGACUGUAACUGACGUUGCGGCUCGAAAGCGUGGGGAGCAAACAGGAUUAGAUACCCCUGUAGUC
RNAcentral lists this ribosomal RNA (440 nucleotides) under uncultured bacterium. Its description in RNAcentral is "partial 16S ribosomal RNA". It matches the Rfam family "Bacterial small subunit ribosomal RNA", at positions 338 to 795 of the family's 1533-position model. The record is from RNAcentral.